AACUGUCAGUAACUAGGGGAAGACCCCUGCCUCAGCAGAAGGUGAGGGGAGUGUGAAGUGGUCCCCACCUCUCCCAACUGCCCCAGCUUGGAGAGGAUCUGCUACCUUCAGCCUCCUGGAGCUCUUCUCUCUGAGAAAGAGAAUGAUAAUAAUAAUUAUUAAAAUGACCAUAGUAAUGGCUGCCACUUACUGAGAGCCGACUCUGUCCCAGGCCCUGUGCAAAUAUUGCUUUGCAAGUUUCCAUUAAUCCUCACAACAACUCUUAAGAUAGGGGAUUUUAUCACCUCCAUUUUACAGAUUAAGGAGACAUUUCUCUGGAUGGGCAACUGUGGGGCCAGGAGAAUGCUCUUCAUGGACCUCCAACUACAAAGACUGAAAAUUUACCAAAGGCCUUAGCUGCUGCCUUCUGAAAUCCAUCAACUCGCAGUUUAAGGCCAGCUUCCCAUGGGGUUGCUCCCAUCCAAAGACCAAACUCAGCAGAGAUCCUAAGUCACCAGGAAUGAAUUCUGAGCUCACGUUCUGGACCGCUGCCAGGAAGAAAGAAGCGGCGUUAGUAUAAAGAAUCACACAAAAGGCCGCAGUAUGCCUUGGAGAUGUUGGCCAGGAGUGACCAACAAAGUGACUCCUCAAAGCUAGGAAGAAGCAAGCCUGCCCCCAGACCUGGUGGUUCAGGACCAUGGAGAGCAUCCUACAUAGUGUCCUGGAGAGGAGACUUACUGCUAUCAUCCCCAUUUUACAGAAGCUGGAGAAAUCCGGAAAGUCUGGAGCAUACAUUCCCUCACCAUCAGGGCAGAAGCUCAGCCUGGUCAGAGAGAAAGGAAAGUUGCUUUGAUGUCCUCUCACCUAGACUAUUCAUUCCCCUGAGAAGCAAGAGGAGUCAAGGAAGAUAGAGUCAUAACGUGCUCUUCAAGUCCUGAUGCUGCAUCCCCACUGCUGUGUGAUCUCAAACAAGUCACUCAACCUCUCUGAGCCUUGGUUUCCUCAUCUGUAAAAUGGAGCUAAUAAUACCACCUCUGUUACUGAACAGAAUUUCCAAAGUCCCAAGCAGAUGUUGUCAGUAUGCAAGGGAAGACAAAAUAUGGGGAGGGAGGGUGAGAACAGGUUGCCCUACCUGGUCACCAUGGCUGCCUGAUGGAGGAAGGAGAUUCAGAGGAUAACAGAGAUUGGAUACGGAGAUUGUGAAACCCAGGAUAGGAAACAAAAGGGCCCAACUCAGGGAGCCUUGCUGGGAAGGGCCCCUGGAAUUCAUGGACCACGCUUGCUGAGAACCCACCAGAAGAAAUGACACAGUACUGCAGUAUGAAGGACUCAGGUCAGACUGUAAACAGACUUCCAGCCAGUCAGGCAACAACAAGGCCACUCCCUCCUGGGGUCUUUGGCUAUGCCUGAGCAAAAUCUCCCCGGUGGAGAGGCUAAGCCUGACUGCAGGAAGCAAUGCAGAAGGAUGGACAGGGCAACCCCGAAGAUGCUUCUGCAGGGCCAGAGAAGGAGGCCACAGUAGUCUGGCAGAUCCUCCCCGGGGUUCUCUUUCAAGCCUUGUCCUCUGGAGGCCUUUCAGAACCUAUCCUGACCUUGAAGGGAAGUCACUGGGCCUGUUCUGGAGCAGGGGCCACGUCCUCACAGACAUGCCCAGGUCAGCGUCAGGCCACAACUCUAUUAUUUAAGGAUUCCAUAAAAGAGCAAACCUCCGGGCCUGGAAGAAUGGCCGGGAUCCUGACUCUUCCUGCACAGGAAAUGCAGCGGCUGUCCCGGAGCCCUGGCUUGACCUGCUGAGGACUCAGAGCCCCUGCAGAUUCCCAGCCUGAAGGGGCUCCACUGUGGCUGAGAUGAUGACACCUGGGCCGAACUGGGCUCCUCCCUUCCGGACUGAGCUGAGACCUACCACCAGACCAACUGCUUGUGGACUCUGCAGUGAUUUUAUUGUGAUUUCCUAGUUGUCGCAGUUAGUAGCAUUAGUUUGUUAAUUACUGUAUAUUUUGAAAGUAAGAGAAAAGGGAAUUCCCACCGGA
Molecule: long non-coding RNA, 2009 nt
Organism: Leopardus geoffroyi (Geoffroy's cat)
Lineage: Eukaryota; Metazoa; Chordata; Mammalia; Carnivora; Felidae
Exons: 6
Source: RefSeq, a predicted model, not a curated record